UUAUAAUAAAGAGUAGAUGGAACAAAUAUAUUAAAGUAAAAGCAAUAAAUAUAUGUAUGAAAAUCGGAAUAACUAUUAAUCAAAUCAAAUUUAAUAAAAUCAAUGAAGCAAUAUAAUCUAAUUAUUCAUAUAUAAAUGGUUAUGUGUAUAGAAUACGUAUUUUAUUGGAUCAACUGAUAUAAUUAUUAAAAAUGAAUGAAUACAAAAGAAACAAAAAUAAAAUAAAAUGAAGUGAAUUAAAUAAAUUGAAAUUAUGCUGACUUUAGUGAAAAUUUUUUUGAAUUCUCACAUUUUCUUUCAUAUUUUCUACUGGCUUUCCCACAUAUUCUCGCAACCAGACACCAACACUUCACAUGAUACAGCAGGAAAUGAUUAUAUCUUCAAUAUCAGUACAGUUGUCAUUUUUAAAAUAUUGAUUUUAAAGUGAUUCAUUAUUUAAAUAUUUAUGCAUAUUACAUAGAUAUUGAGUGUAAGGAUAAAUCAAAAAUUAAAAAUAACUAAGUAAUUUUAUUAUUAGUUUUAUUGGAAAAAUAAUAUUUUGAAAUUAUCAAUAAUUAUUAUUACAUAUUAUUUUAAAAAUAGUUUCUUUCAUUCUUUAUACAUUUUAUAUAAAUAAUACAUGUAUUGAAUUGUAAUAUAAAUAAAUUUAAUUAAACCAA
Molecule: long non-coding RNA, 659 nt
Organism: Apis cerana (Asiatic honeybee)
Lineage: Eukaryota; Metazoa; Arthropoda; Insecta; Hymenoptera; Apidae
Source: RefSeq, a predicted model, not a curated record